UACGUAUGGGGCAAGCGUUAUCCGGAUUUACUGGGUGUAAAGGGAGCGUAGGCGGCAGGGCAAGCCUGAUGUGAAAGCCCGGGGCUCAACCCCGGGACUGCAUUUGGAACUGUAUGGCUGGAGUGUCGGAGAGGCAGGCGGAAUUCCUAGUGUAGCGGUGAAAUGCGUAGAUAUUAGGAGGAACACCAGUGGCGAAGGCGGCCUGCUGGGCUUUUACUGACGCUGAGGCUCGAAAGUGUGGGGAGCAAACAGG
This 253-nucleotide ribosomal RNA is filed under the name uncultured Eubacteriales bacterium. RNAcentral's name for it is "uncultured Clostridiales bacterium partial 16S ribosomal RNA". It matches the Rfam family "Bacterial small subunit ribosomal RNA", at positions 524 to 776 of the family's 1533-position model. The record is from RNAcentral. Lineage: Bacteria; Bacillati; Bacillota; Clostridia; Eubacteriales.